CUACGGGGUGCUGCAGUGAGGAAUUUUGCGCAAUGGGGGAAACCCUGACGCAGCAACGCCGCGUGAGCGAAGAAGGCCCUCGGGUCGUAAAGCUCUGUCAAGUGGGAAAAAAAUUUUUUGAUCAAUAGUCAAAAGACUUGAUGGUACCACUGGAGGAAGCACCGGCUAACUCCGUGCCAGCAGCCGCGGUAAUACGGAGGGUGCAAGCGUUGUUCGGAUUUACUGGGCGUAAAGAGCGUGUAGGCGGUUUAGCAAGUCAGAUGUGAAAGCCCUGGGCUCAACCCGGGAAGUGCAUUUGAACUGCAUCACUAGAGGAUGGGAGAGGAGAUUGGAAUUCCUGGUGUAGAGGUGAAAUUCGUAGAUAUCAGGAGGAACACCCGUGGCGAAGGCGAUUCUCUGGACCAAUACUGACGCUGAGACGCGAAAGCGUGGGGAGCAAACAGGAUUAGAUACCCGUGUAGUC
This 463-nucleotide ribosomal RNA is filed under the name uncultured bacterium. RNAcentral describes it as "partial 16S ribosomal RNA". It matches the Rfam family "Bacterial small subunit ribosomal RNA", at positions 339 to 795 of the family's 1533-position model. The record is from RNAcentral.